GCUGGCGGCGUGCNUAAUACAUGCAAGUCGAGCGGACCRRAUCGGAGCUUGCUCUGNUUUGGUCAGCGGCGGACGGGUGAGUAACACGUGGGCAACCUGCCCGCAAGACCGGGAUAACUCCGGGAAACCGGAGCUAAUACCGGAUAACACCGAAGACCGCAUGGUCUUUGGUUGAAAGGCGGCCUUUGGCUGUCACUUGCGGANGGGCCCGCGGCGCAUUAGCUAGUUGGUGAGGUAACGGCUCACCAAGGCGACGAUGCGUAGCCGGCCUGAGAGGGUGACCGGCCACACUGGGACUGAGACACGGCCCAGACUCCUACGGGAGGCAGCAGUAGGGAAUCUUCCGCAAUGGGCGAAAGCCUGACGGAGCGACGCCGCGUGAGCGAAGAAGGCCUUCGGGUCGUAAAGCUCUGUUGUGAGGGACGAAGGAGCGCCGUUCGAAGAGGGCGGCGCGGUGACGGUACCUCACGAGGAAGCCCCGGCUAACUACGUGCCAGCAGCCGCGGUAUACGUAGGGGCGAGCGUUU
Molecule: ribosomal RNA, 527 nt
Filed under: Geobacillus thermoleovorans
Lineage: Bacteria; Bacillati; Bacillota; Bacilli; Caryophanales; Anoxybacillaceae
Description: bacterial SSU rRNA
Rfam family: Bacterial small subunit ribosomal RNA
Source: RNAcentral